GACGAACGCUGGCGGCGUGCCUAAUACAUGCAAGUAGAACGCUGAAGGAGGAGCUUGCUUCUCCGGAUGAGUUGCGAACGGGUGAGUAACGCGUAGGUAACCUGCCUGGUAGCGGGGGAUAACUAUUGGAAACGAUAGCUAAUACCGCAUAACAGUAGAUGUUGCAUGACAUUUGCUUAAAAGGUGCAAUUGCAUCACUACCAGAUGGACCUGCGUUGUAUUAGCUAGUUGGUGAGGUAACGGCUCACCAAGGCGACGAUACAUAGCCGACCUGAGAGGGUGAUCGGCCACCCUGGGACUGAGACACGGCCCAGACUCCUACGGGAGGCAGCAGUAGGGAAUCUUCGGCAAUGGACGGAAGUCUGACCGAGCAACGCCGCGUGAGUGAAGAAGGUUUUCGGAUCGUAAAGCUCUGUUGUAAGAGAAGAACGAGUGCGAGAGUGGAAAGUUCACACUGUGACGGUAUCUUACCAGAAAGGGACGGCUAACUACGUG
Molecule: ribosomal RNA, 495 nt
Filed under: uncultured bacterium
Lineage: Bacteria
Description: partial 16S ribosomal RNA
Rfam family: Bacterial small subunit ribosomal RNA
Source: RNAcentral